GACGAACGCUGGCGGCGUGCUUAACACAUGCAAGUCGAACGGAAAGGCCCUGCUUGCAGGGUACUCGAGUGGCGAACGGGUGAGUAACACGUGGGUGAUCUGCCCUGCACUUCGGGAUAAGCCUGGGAAACUGGGUCUAAUACCGGAUAGGAGCCAUUUUUAGUGUGAUGGUUGGAAAGUUUUUUCGGUGUAGGAUGAGCUCGCGGCCUAUCAGCUUGUUGGUGGGGUAAUGGCCUACCAAGGCGGCGACGGGUAGCCGGCCUGAGAGGGUGGACGGCCACAUUGGGACUGAGAUACGGCCCAGACUCCUACGGGAGGCAUCAGUGGGGAAUAUUGCACAAUGGGCGCAAGCCUGAUGCAGCGACGCCGCGUGGGGGAUGACGGCCUUCGGGUUGUAAACUCCUUUCGCUAGGGACGAAGCUUUUUGUGACGGUACCUAGAGAAGAAGCACCGGCUAACUACGUG
Molecule: ribosomal RNA, 465 nt
Filed under: uncultured bacterium
Lineage: Bacteria
Description: partial 16S ribosomal RNA
Rfam family: Bacterial small subunit ribosomal RNA
Source: RNAcentral